UACGCAGGGUGCGAGCGUUAAUCGGAAUUACUGGGCGUAAGGCGUGCGCAGGCGAUUUUGUAAGUCAGAUGUGAAAUCCCCGAGCUCAACUUGGGAACUGCGUUUGAAACUACAAGACUAGAAUAUGUCAGAGGGGGGUAGAAUUCCACGUGUAGCAGUGAAAUGCGUAGAGAUGUGGAGGAAUACCAAUGGCGAAGGCAGCCCCCUGGCCUAAUACUGACGCUCAUGCACGAAAGCGUGGGGAGCAAACAGGAUUAGAAACCCCUGUAGUCC
This 273-nucleotide ribosomal RNA is filed under the name uncultured Methylotenera sp. RNAcentral describes it as "partial 16S ribosomal RNA". It matches the Rfam family "Bacterial small subunit ribosomal RNA", at positions 524 to 796 of the family's 1533-position model. Lineage: Bacteria; Pseudomonadati; Pseudomonadota; Betaproteobacteria; Nitrosomonadales; Methylophilaceae. The record is from RNAcentral.